This 253-nucleotide ribosomal RNA is filed under the name uncultured bacterium. RNAcentral's name for it is "partial 16S ribosomal RNA". It matches the Rfam family "Bacterial small subunit ribosomal RNA", at positions 524 to 776 of the family's 1533-position model. The record is from RNAcentral.
UACGUAGGGUGCGAGCGUUAAUCGGAAUUACUGGGCGUAAAGCGUGCGCAGGCGGUCUGUUAAGACCGAUGUGAAAUCCCCGGGCUUAACCUGGGAACUGCGUCUGAGACUGGCAAGCUUGAGUGCAGGAGAGGAAUGCGGAAUUCCAGGUGUAGCGGUGAAAUGCGUAGAUAUCUGGAGGAACACCGGUGGCGAAGGCGGCGUUCUGGACUGCAACUGACACUGAGGAACGAAAGCCAGGGGAGCAAACGGG